This 253-nucleotide ribosomal RNA is filed under the name uncultured bacterium. RNAcentral's name for it is "partial 16S ribosomal RNA". It matches the Rfam family "Bacterial small subunit ribosomal RNA", at positions 524 to 776 of the family's 1533-position model. The record is from RNAcentral.
GACAGAGGAUGCAAGCGUUAUCCGGAAUGAUUGGGCGUAAAGCGUCUGUAGGUGGCUUUUUAAGUCCGCCGUCAAAUCCCAGGGCUCAACCCUGGACAGGCGGUGGAAACUACCAAGCUGGAGUACGGUAGGGGCAGAGGGAAUUUCCGGUGGAGCGGUGAAAUGCGUAGAGAUCGGAAAGAACACCCGUGGCGAAGGCGGUUCUCUGGGACGGUACUGACGCUGAGACGCGAAAGCGUGGGGAGCGAACAGG